This 492-nucleotide ribosomal RNA is filed under the name uncultured bacterium. Its description in RNAcentral is "partial 16S ribosomal RNA". It matches the Rfam family "Bacterial small subunit ribosomal RNA", at positions 29 to 507 of the family's 1533-position model. The record is from RNAcentral.
AGUGAACGCUGGCGGUAGGCCUAACACAUGCAAGUCGAACGGCAGCACAGUAAGAGCUUGCUCUUACGGGUGGCGAGUGGCGGACGGGUGAGGAAUACAUCGGAAUCUACUUUUUCGUGGGGGAUAACGUAGGGAAACUUACGCUAAUACCGCAUACGACCUACGGGUGAAAGCAGGGGAUCUUCGGACCUUGCGCGAUUGAAUGAGCCGAUGUCGGAUUAGCUAGUUGGCGGGGUAAAGGCCAACCAAGGCGACGAUCCGUAGCUGGUCUGAGAGGAUGAUCGGCCACACUGGAACUGAGACACGGUCCAGACUCCUACGGGAGGCAGCAGUGGGGAAUAUUGGACAAUGGGCGCAAGCCUGAUCCAGCCAUACCGCGUGGGUGAAGAAGGCCUUCGGGUUGUAAAGCCCUUUUGUUGGGAAAGAAAAGCAGCAGGUUAAUACCCCGCUGUUCUGACGGUACCCAAAGAAUAAGCACCGGCUAACUUCGUG